UGUGUGGAAAGGUGUGUUCACAGCACAGA
This 29-nucleotide non-coding RNA is filed under the name Homo sapiens (human). The record is from RNAcentral. Lineage: Eukaryota; Metazoa; Chordata; Mammalia; Primates; Hominidae.